This 100-nucleotide transfer RNA is filed under the name Daldinia bambusicola. Its description in RNAcentral is "tRNA-Arg". It matches the Rfam family "tRNA". Rfam says of the family: Transfer RNA (tRNA) molecules are approximately 80 nucleotides in length. Their secondary structure includes four short double-helical elements and three loops (D, anti-codon, and T loops). The record is from RNAcentral. Lineage: Eukaryota; Fungi; Ascomycota; Sordariomycetes; Xylariales; Hypoxylaceae.
GGCCGCUUGGCCCAAUGGUAAGGCGUCUGACUACGACCGAGUGUGUCAACACACUUGAAUAGUUAUCAGGAGAUUCUGGGUUCGAGCCCCAGGGUGGUCA